Molecule: ribosomal RNA, 205 nt
Filed under: uncultured bacterium
Lineage: Bacteria
Description: partial 16S ribosomal RNA
Rfam family: Bacterial small subunit ribosomal RNA
Source: RNAcentral
GAUUGUAGUCUGCAACUCGACUACAUGAAGCUGGAAUCGCUAGUAAUCGCGAAUCAGCAUGUCGCGGUGAAUACGUUCCCGGGUCUUGUACACACCGCCCGUCACACCAUGGGAGUCGGUAACGCCCGAAGUCAGUGACCCAACCGGAAGGAGGGAGCUGCCGAAGGCGGGACUGGUAACUGGGGUGAAGUCGUAACAAGGUAUC